AAAAAAGCUAUGAAGGGGCAAGUAGGUUGAAAUCUGGCUUUUCAGGGAGAGGUAGUCAUAGACUGGAAGCUACCUUAAGUCAAUUCAACUGAAGUUCUCCCCGGAGCUGUCCGGCUGAACCAUUAGUAGGCCGGACCGGGUGACCGUUAUCUUUAUUUAAGUGGGUAUUAUUCCAAUCUGGGUGGUACCGCGGAAGUUAAGCUUUCGUCCCUAUU
This 215-nucleotide non-coding RNA is filed under the name Natranaerobius trueperi. RNAcentral describes it as "T-box sequence". It matches the Rfam family "T-box leader". From Rfam's summary of the family: Uncharged tRNA acts as the effector for transcription antitermination of genes in the T-box leader family. T-boxes are found upstream of many aminoacyl-tRNA synthetase genes and some amino acid biosynthetic genes usually in Gram-positive bacteria. Lineage: Bacteria; Bacillati; Bacillota; Clostridia; Natranaerobiales; Natranaerobiaceae. The record is from RNAcentral.